RNAcentral lists this ribosomal RNA (519 nucleotides) under uncultured eukaryote. Its description in RNAcentral is "bacterial SSU rRNA". It matches the Rfam family "Eukaryotic small subunit ribosomal RNA", at positions 1161 to 1698 of the family's 1831-position model. The record is from RNAcentral.
AGGGCACCACCAGAUGUGGAGCCUGCGGCUUAAUUUGACUCAACACGGGGAAACUUACCCGGGCCGGACACUGGUAGGAUUGACAGAUUGAGAGCUCUUUCUUGAUUCAGUGGGUGGUGGUGCAUGGCCGUUCUUAGUUGGUGGAGCGAUUUGUCUGGUUAAUUCCGAUAACGAACGAGACUCUAGCCUACUAAAUAGGCUGCCGGACUAUUCUUGCGCGGAGGACUUCUUAUAGGGACAGGCGGGGGUUCAUCCGCACGAAAUAGAGCAAUAACAGGUCUGUGAUGCCCUUUGAUGUCCGGGGCCGCACGCACCAUACACUGAACAGAAAUGCGUGCUUGACGUUCCUGCUCCGGUCGGAGUGGGGAACCCAGUGAAACCUCUUCGUGAUUGGGACUGCACAUUGUGAUUUUUCUUCACGAACGAGGAACAUCCAGUAUAUGCGAGUCAUCAUUGUCGCGAUGACUAUUUCCCUGCCCUUUGUACACACCGCCCGUCGCUACUACCGAGUGAAUGACU